UACGGAGGGUGCGAGCGUUGUCCGGAAUCACUGGGCGUAAAGGGCGCGUAGGUGGCGACUCAAGUCAACGGUGAAAGCUCGACGCUCAACGUCGAGUCGGCCGUCGAAACUGGGACGCUUGAGCACUGUAGAGGCAGAUGGAAUUCCGGGUGUAGCGGUGGAAUGCGCAGAUAUCAGGAGGAACACCAAUGGCGAAGGCAGAUCUCUGGGCCGUAACUGACGCUGAGGAGCGAAAGCAUGGGGAGCGAACAGG
RNAcentral lists this ribosomal RNA (253 nucleotides) under uncultured bacterium. RNAcentral's name for it is "partial 16S ribosomal RNA". It matches the Rfam family "Bacterial small subunit ribosomal RNA", at positions 524 to 776 of the family's 1533-position model. The record is from RNAcentral.